RNAcentral lists this ribosomal RNA (450 nucleotides) under Triticum aestivum (bread wheat). RNAcentral describes it as "partial small subunit ribosomal RNA". The record is from RNAcentral. Lineage: Eukaryota; Viridiplantae; Streptophyta; Magnoliopsida; Poales; Poaceae.
AUGUUUGCUUUUUGGUGGGGUGAUACAGAGGAGGAAAAUAAAAUGCACUGGUUAGCAUGGUGGAAGAUGUGCAUACCAAAAGUUAGGGGAGGCAUGGGAUUUAGAGAUCUUCAUGCUUUUAAUUUAGCAAUGUUGGCAAAAUAAAGUUGGAGAUUGAUAACCCAUCCUAAAACUUUAUGUGCCAGAGUUUUACGAGCUAAAUACUUCCCUGACGGUAAUCUUCUUAAGGCGGGGCCAAUCAAGGGGUCAUCUUACACAUGGCAAAGCAUUUUUGCAGGGCUACAAACUUCCCGCAGAGGUCACAUUUGGCGUAUUGGCUCAGGAGUGAAAGUAAAUAUAUGGGAUGAUCACUGGAUUCCGUCUAGUCAGACUAGGAUGAUUAUGACUAGGAGAGGUAAUACCUUGCUUAGGACAGUGGAUGAACUGAUGAUUCCGGGCACUGCAAGCUAG